AAACACGUGCAAAAGUGCAUUCUCGCGGAUUGUGGCAGUGUUUGGUAUUUCAAGCAUAACUUUUGCAUACGACCUCUGAUUGGGCUGAUUCAAGUGGAUUUAGAAAGCUCACUUCAAGGGCUACAACUUUUGUGAAAUGCAUAAUUGUCAAAUUCGGGCUGAAAAUGGGUGAAAAUAGUGUUUGAAGUUGAUGCAGAGGCCAGAUCGCGAUCCAGAAACACCGGAU
RNAcentral lists this long non-coding RNA (226 nucleotides) under Erythranthe guttata (spotted monkey flower). Its description in RNAcentral is "long non-coding RNA (EGUT_LNC000342)". Lineage: Eukaryota; Viridiplantae; Streptophyta; Magnoliopsida; Lamiales; Phrymaceae. The record is from RNAcentral.